UACGUAGGUGGCGAGCGUUGUCCGGAUUUACUGGGCGUAAAGGGAGCGUUGGCGGACUUUUAAGUGAGAUGUGAAAUACCCGGGCUCAACUUGGGUGCUGCAUUUCAAACUGGAAGUCUAGGGUGCAGGAGAGGAGAAUGGAAUUCCUAGUGUAGCGGUGAAAUGCGUAGAGAUUAGGAAGAACACCAGUGGCGAAGGCGAUUCUCUGGACUGUAACUGACGCUGAGGCUCGAAAGAGUGGGGAGCAAACAGGAUUAGAUACCCCGGUAGU
RNAcentral lists this ribosomal RNA (271 nucleotides) under uncultured prokaryote. RNAcentral's name for it is "partial 16S ribosomal RNA". It matches the Rfam family "Bacterial small subunit ribosomal RNA", at positions 524 to 794 of the family's 1533-position model. The record is from RNAcentral.